This 349-nucleotide unclassified non-coding RNA is filed under the name soil metagenome. RNAcentral describes it as "partial contains 5.8S ribosomal RNA, internal transcribed spacer 2, and large subunit ribosomal RNA". The stretch from base 1 to 120 matches the Rfam family "5.8S ribosomal RNA", at positions 35 to 154 of the family's 154-position model. The record is from RNAcentral.
GAUGAAGAACGCAGCGAAAUGCGAAAAGUAAUGUGAAUUGCAGAAUUCAGUGAAUCAUCGAAUCUUUGAACGCACAUUGCGCCCGCCAGUAUUCUGGCGGGCAUGCCUGUCUGAGCGUCAUUUCAACCCUCACGCCCCUAGGGCGUGGUGUUGGGGAUCGGCCAGCGCCCGCGAGGGGAAGGCCGUCCCCCAAAUCUAGUGGCGGACCCGUCGUGGCCUCCCCUGCGAAGUAGUGAUAUUCCGCAUAGGAGAGCGACGAGCCCCUGCCGUUAAACCCCCAACUUUCUCAGGUUGACCUCAGAUCAGGUAGGAAUACCCGCUGAACUUAAGCAUAUCAAUAAGCGGAGGA